RNAcentral lists this unclassified non-coding RNA (893 nucleotides) under Hevea brasiliensis (rubber tree). Lineage: Eukaryota; Viridiplantae; Streptophyta; Magnoliopsida; Malpighiales; Euphorbiaceae. The record is from RNAcentral.
UUAAAUUGACCAUGAGGAGGAAAAAAUGAUGCUACUCCCUACUAGGGGCGUGCAAACAGUUGGUUUAGUUCCGAACCAAACCAAUAAAAUUGAAAACUGAAAUUUAAUAAAAAUUCGAAUUGAACUGAACUGAUGACAUAGGAAUAACUUAACCGAAACGACAAAUAUCUGUUUGGUUUGGUUUAAAGCAAACCGAUUAAAACAAAUUGAUUAAUUGAAAUUUUGAUUGCAUAUAGAUCUGAAGGACAGUCAAGAUUGAUAAACAGAUUUAAAGCAUCCAACAUGCAAAUAGCCAAAUACCUUUGCUAAAAUAGAUUUGAAGUAUCCAAAAUUUCAAUUAAAGCUUAUUAAACCAAAAACAACAUGUUAUAGAAGAAUUUCCCAACCUAAAUGAUGAAAUUUCAAUCAUAGAGCAUAUACAUCAUCGCAAAUUCACAAUCCAACAAAUCAAGUACCCAAGUAUAGAUCAAUUUACCAGCAUAUGAGAGAGAAAAAGUAUAAAAGAAAAGUGUUGGUGUUGGCGCUAGAAGCUGAUGAAGACUGCGAGAAGCCGUGAACCCAUGCCUUAGUCAUCAAAGCGUAAGCAACUCACAUGCAACAAUUGAUGAACGUUGUUGAGGAGGCUGGUUGAUGGCGGGUCUUGCAAUCUCCUUAGGUCUGGUGACCUGAGAUGGAAGGGAUUGGAACCACAAUGAACGAUGGUGAGGACCAGGGUGGAGGGAUGAGGACAAGGACGAGAGUGGAGAGGUGAGAGGGACGAGAGUCGAUUUGUAAGCCUCCAUUGGCUGAUGGAUUUAGAACAGACAAAGGAGAAGGAGCAGAGAGGGAGUGGGCGGCAGAAAGAAGGAUUAGGUUUAGGAAGGGAAAAAUGCUUGUGUGUGUGUGUGUGUGUG